AAAAUGAAAAUUCUUUUUUCCUCUGAAUCCUUGGCUCAGGCCAAGUCGAAUGAACCCCGAAAUUCAAAAAUCGCAAGGUUUAGUUUUUUCGCUAUUUUCAAUUGUUCGAAAAACCUACUUUUACGAACUCGUCCUAGACGGUUAGUCCGAUUUUCACGAAAAUUGGCUCAGAUCAUCUUCAGACGAUGCCGGCAAAAAGUUAUGGAAUUCAAGUUGAUUUGUCCAACCGUUCUCGAAUACCACGCGAACAAAUUCUACGAAAAGCACGCAAAAAUGCUUGUGAGGCUAUAACUCCGCAACGGUUUGGCGUAUUGAGACCAAACUUGGUGUGUGUUGUAACAAGCAUGACCUGAGAUUACCUGCAGUGUUUCGACGCAGCGCCACCUAGUGGUUAGGAGAUAUGAAAAAUGCAUAUUUUUGCUUAUAACUUCUGAAUGGUUUGGCAAAAAAUAAUAAAACUGGUCUCAUUAGAUUCGGUCGGUCAUGUCGAGUCGAAGGAUAUCCAAUUUUCCCGUGUCGGCCAUUUUAGGUGUCGGCCAUUUUGAAUUAUGUUUCAAAAUGCUGUAUUUUUUUG
This is a long non-coding RNA of Cyprinus carpio carpio, 574 nucleotides long. NCBI's taxonomy places the organism in Eukaryota, Metazoa, Chordata, Actinopteri, Cypriniformes, Cyprinidae. The record is from Ensembl.